AUUACUCCUACGGGAGGCAGCAGUGGGGAAUAUUGGACAAUGGGCGCAAGCCUGAUCCAGCCAUGCCGCGUGAGUGAUGACGGCCUUAGGGUUGUAAAGCUCUUUUACCUGGGAAGAUAAUGACGGUACCAGGAGAAUAAGCCCCGGCUAACUUCGUGCCAGCAGCCGCGGUAAUAAU
This 178-nucleotide ribosomal RNA is filed under the name uncultured bacterium. RNAcentral describes it as "partial 16S ribosomal RNA". It matches the Rfam family "Bacterial small subunit ribosomal RNA", at positions 332 to 526 of the family's 1533-position model. The record is from RNAcentral.